RNAcentral lists this long non-coding RNA (23403 nucleotides) under Panax ginseng (ginseng). RNAcentral's name for it is "long non-coding RNA (PGIN_LNC017493)". The record is from RNAcentral. Lineage: Eukaryota; Viridiplantae; Streptophyta; Magnoliopsida; Apiales; Araliaceae.
UUAACUAAUGCUUGAAUUCAUAAUCAUACAACCAUGUAAUCUAAGCCGCCGACUGAAAAGUUACAAAGAUGGUUAUUUUAGGUUCCUUUUUAUACAAGCAAGGGAAACAUGGUCCCUUUUAUUCUGACUGGUUCACAAGAUAAUAGUACUGACAUUCUAAGCUAUACUUAGUUCAUACAUUAAAAUUCAUCUUCUCCAUAAAAUAUACCAACCUACAACCAGUGAGUGUAAUUUUCAUCUUGCUUGGUUUCAAGCUUCCACCACAAGAGUGUAAGAUUAAAAAUAAUAUUAAAAUAAAAUCUUGCUCAUUUUCUUUCAUUCACUUUUUCACCGACUAAAAAUAGAACCAAAGUAAUACAAUCUGUAUCACCAAAAGGUCUCACCAUAUAAAAAUAAAAAAUUAUUUAUUAAAAAAAAUUCUAGUAAAAAAGUAAACUUUCUUAUAAAAGACUUGCAUUGAAAAGAAUCUCCUCAAAAUCAAACCUAACCUUAAUAUUUUAAAGGUCUUUAAUCUAUAUAGUAGUACAAAACAGUGAAAAAUAAUGACUAUAGGACUUGAAGAUAGAAAGUAGUACAAAACAAAAAACUAAUUAACUAUUCAAAUGCGAGAAAAGAAAUUUAUAUUACUCUCAACUCACCAAAAAGUAAGCAUAUUAAAUUACAAAAGAAAAAAUGAGUUUUAAAUUGGGAACUAUAAGCAUAUUCAAUUGCAAAAGAAGAAAUGACUUUUAAAUUGGGAACUAACCUCCCUCCCAACUUUGGGCAAUUCCACUAUCAAAUGUCAAUUUUAUAUACAAAGUUUAUAUCAAAAGUUAAUACGGAGUACCUUCCAGCAUCUUCAGGGCUAAACUCAAUAUCAUCACACCCCAAACUCCUACCAUAACCUUACCAUACUCCUAGCUUUCGAUUUCUUCAGCUUAUACUUCAUAUGAAUCUCACACGUCGCUAUAAACGUAUGAAUCCUAGGCUUCUUCGCAUACUUAACAGCUUCCCAAGCCGCAUCAAUGUCCUUCUUAUUACACCUCGCCAAUCCGCAUUUGGUGGUCAUGGUCGCGCCAGGGGACUGUUCGCCGUCGCGGAGGGUGGUGUCGAAGAUUCGGAUGCAAUUCGGGUUGGGGAUGCGGUGGGGGUGUAUUCGGGGCGGCGGAGGGGAGAAUGUAAGCAGCAGCGGAGAAUUGGGGUGGUGGGUUUUAUGGGUUUGAAGUGAAAAAGGGUGGGAAUUGGAGAAUUGGAGAAUUGGAAGAGAAAGAGGAGGAAUUGGUUGGGCAGUAAUUGGGGUGAGGGAAAAUGGCCGCCAUGGGAAAGAUAGAGAGAGAAAGCUUGGUAAAUGUAAAGUGAUUGGAGGAAUAUAGACUAUUGAAGAGGGGGAAAAGGGUUUAUGGAAUAUACAUUUUUUAAGCGACCCCAAGGUCCCCAACAUAUAUUCUUAUUCUAAAUGGUUAAACCCUAUAAUAAUUUUUUCAAUAAUACAGUGUAUUUUUUAAAAUGUUACUGUAUUUGCGUAAUAUGAAUAUUAUUUUUAAAAUCGUUAAUUUUAAAAUAGAUCAUUAAUUUUGAAAAUGAAAAGAUUAUUCUAAUAUCAUUCUUGAUUACAAAAUUGACAGGAAGUAAAUAUAAUAAAUAAAGAUUCUUCUUUGAUUACAAAAGUCAUAGAAAGGUCGAUACACGUGGCAUUAGAAAAUGUUAUUUUUUUUGUUUACCAAAACCAGAUAAAUAAACUUGGACUCGGUUAGCAUGAAUUUGGCUCAUCAAGACCAUCGGUCGGUUGAAGUUUAUGGUGCCGCUGAUACCUCAUUAAUAAUUAAAUUAAUGGACGAGAUUCAACAAUUCUGCACGGCGUCGUUUGGCAAAGCGAAUUUGGAUAAAUCGGAUGCAGCGAAGUAAUCAGCUCAAACAAGGGGAGAUUUAUAAUCGGCACUGACAAGCGAUGAUUGACGUCAGACGGAAGAUUUGGAGUCAUAAUAAAAAAUGUAAAACAAAGCUUCUUGAGAUUGGAUGACACUUUGUAGCAACCAUGUAAAACAGAGCAACGAAAAUUCAAAUAGGUAAUGUAUUGAUUUAAAACAUAACUUCUUCAUUAUUGAGAAUAGAUUCAUCUAAAAACAGAACUUCUUCAUUCUUGUCUUUGAUUCACCAACAGGUGGUGCAAGGAAGAAUAAAGUCUAUAUUGAGGUUAGUAUAUAUAAAUGAGUUGAACAAUAGUUGUGAUACUAAAAGGAAAUGGUUGAUGCAAUAAACUCCAAUAUAUAACAUUAAUGAAGUUAUAAAGAAAUGUUGAUGCAAUAGAUUUGAAUAUUUAGUAAAUCUGUUGGUUUAUAUAAAUCAUGAAUUAUAUGCAAUAUUUGGGCAUUGAAAAAAAGUUCAAUAUGCAAUGACUGAUUCUGGUUAUAAAAUGUAAAAAGAAUAUUUGAGUUGAUUAAAAAUAAGUUAGUGAAGUGGAAUUAGAGAAUUAGUUAUUGUAAUGCAAAUAGUAUAAUACAAGUUUAAGUUUAAUGAUUGAAUUUUAGUAAUUCUAGUAGUUAGAUAAUUGUUCUGCAACUUCUACCAAUUAAUAUUGUUAUGUAUAUGAUGUUCGUGAGAUCUAAUUUGUUUUGACAGAUCAAACAUAGAAAGAACUAAAUGGAUGACAGAAGUUCAGAAGGUGUUUCACUUACUGAAAGUUCUUGCAUAGGACAAGAAUUUGAUUCGGAGGAGGAUGAGUUUAAUUUCUAUAAUAAUUAUGGAAGAAAGUUAGGAUUUAGUGUGAGGAAACAAUAUGUGAACAAAAACAAGCUUGGUGUAGUUACUUCAAGAAGAUAUUCAUGCUCGAAGGAGGUUGAGCGGAUGGAAAUAAUAGCAGAGGGCAAGAAAAAGAGAGUUAGACGACCUAGUAGAUUCAAUUGUCAAGCAAAAAUGAAUGUAGUACUUGAUAAAACAAAACAAAACUACGUUGUCAACAACUUUGAUGAGAAUCACAAUCACUUAUUGCACAUUCCUGAAUGCGUUCAUGUGGAUGUAGCCAAAACACAAGCGAUUAGAUUGAAUUAGCAUAUAAUUCUGGAAGGCGGCGCUGAUAUGCGGUUGCAGAUAAGCCUUUUUCUUGUAGUGCAAGCAGUGAGAAUAUUGAGUAGAUACAUGUCUAACCCCGGGAAGGAGCAUAUAUUAGACUGCUAUCAAAAGAGUUCUCAGGUAUCUUUCUGAUAGUACUUCUGAUUUUGCAUUGCAUUUUAGAGGUAAAAGAGAUGGGAUAAAUUUUAAGGUGGUAGGAUAUGUGGAUGUUGAUUUGGGUGGAGACGCCAAUAGAAGGAAAUCAACGAUUGGCUAUAUAUUCAACUUGUUUAAUGGUCCUGUGAGUUGGAUGAGCAGAAAGCAAAGUGUUGUUGCAUUGUCAUCCACUGAGGCAGAAUAUAUGGCGUUUACUCAUGCAAGUAAGGAAGCAAUAUGGAUUCACAUGUUGUGUGGCGAGCUUGGUUUUAAACAGAAGGCAGUGAAGUUAAAGUGCGACAGUCAGAGUGAUAUUUACUUACCAAAAAAUCUUGCAUUCCACUCACGGUUGAAACAUAUUAAUAUUCAGUAUCACUUCAGCAGAGAUAAGAUUGAUGAGAAACUAUUUUUUUUUUUUGUUUUAAAAAAGUUGAUAUAGCAGUGAAUAGCGCAGACUUCUUAACUAAGACAAUUAGAUUGGAAAAGUUUAAGUGUUGUACAUGUGAGGUGGGCAUCAAAAAGUAUUCACCAAGUGAGAUAAUGUUGGGAUUGACACAUACUUUAGUGGAGUGGAAGAGACCAAUAGACAAGUGUAAUGUUUAUUUGAGCUUGGGGUUUUAUUUGUAGACCGGUCUUGGGUUUGACUAAUGUAUUGAGCCCAUGUGAUUGAUCUCAUAUUUGGAGUGUGUAUCAUGUAGAGAGUAUGAGAGAGACAAUAUAUGAACAUAGCUUUUCACUAGUAAUUGUAUAAAAUUAAAAUACGAAGUUAAUUAGUUGUUAGGUUGCCGUAGUUAUUUUCCUCUUCCAAUUACAUUAUAAACAUCUUUAAGGUUGCCAUAGUAAUAGUAUAAUAGAUGCACCAAAAUUAGUUUUUCUGAAAAAUAAAGAUGAAGAGAUUUUUUCUUAUACAUGCAAUCAAUGCCCCAUGCGAAGAAAAACCGACUAUAACUCUACUCUAAUAUGAAGGAUAAAUAUAGGAAGGAUAAAAAAAAUACACCUAUUAUAUUUAUAUACAUACAAAUACGAUUAAUUAAUGUGCAACUCAACUUUUCAUUGAUCACAAUAAUAAUUAAUACCAUAAUUCAAUUUAUAACGUGUUUGGUCCCAAUAUUUCCCAAUUCUAAAAUUAAUUCUACAUUUUAAUCUUUAUAUUAAUUUGGACAAUAUUUUUACAAUAUUAAAUUUUAAAGAGUAAAAUACUAAAAAAUUAUUACUAGUACAUGAUCAUUUACCAAUUUUUCUUGUAAAUAACAACGCAAAGACAAAAUAAUAACAAUAUUGCAAUCAUCCGAUCAACUAAUUAAACAAAUUGAUUGUGUAACUCAAAUUUUUUUCAUAGAUCAAUUCGAUAAUACACGCGUGAGUUUAUAAUUACGAACUGGUUUUGUCCCAAUAAAAAAUCAAUUCAAAUACAUACCUAUAUAGAAUCAACAAAAAUCUGGUAGUUAGCUAGUAUUGAGGAAAAGCAACAUAGGGAUGAAAUUUGUAACAGUUUUUGCCGCCGAGAGGAUUCUUCUUCAUACUACCCAUUAUUGGCUUUGGCUUUGGCUUGGGAUCUUGAAACUCAAUUACUUGAAUCUUCUUUUGCCUCUUGGCGUCCUCGAUUCGUUGAUAAGAAUCGCGCAGUUUCUUCUUGGCGGACUCGUAUUUCAAUUGAAUAGAGGAUUCAUCCAAUGCCUUGUUCUUAUCACAAUAAUAUUCUCUGUUUGGCUCCGCAUUAAUCUUGUUCGGUUGAUUAUUGAUCUUCUUGUUGACAACAGCAUUGUCAUCAUCAUCAUCGGCUUCUUGUUUUAAGCACACAGCAAUCCACUCCAACUGAUCUCGAUUUGGCUUCAAAACUUGUAUAACCCUCUUCAAUUCCUUGCCUUUUCCCGAUGGUGGUUGCCGCUUCAAACGAAUAGGAACACGAUCACUCACAUCUUCAACAACUUGAUCAUCGGCAUCGAGAUUCAUGGCGGCAUCAUCACUCACAAAGUUAAAAGCAAAAUCCUCCAAUGACCGACUUCACAAAGUUAAAAGCAAAAUCCUCCAAUGGCGGACAUUCAAGUCCGUCGAACAUCUCAUCACCAUAAACCUCCUCCAUUAAUCUCUCUCUUUCUUUCUCUCACUCAGACUAGUAUGAGCUUAAUUUGUUCUAAUAAUUAUGUAUAUAUAUAUAUAUAUAGUGAUCAGGUUAAUGACUUGGAACCCAAAUAUAUUCGGUCGGCGUAUUUAUGGCAUUGAUCUUACGAACGGGUUUAAAUGCAUAUCUGUGUGCAAAUCUUCUACAAACAGAUUUCAUAUAUAAUAAAAAUAGAUUUCAAAUAUAUUUUCAUAUAUAUAUAUAUAUAUAUAUAUAUAUAUAUAUAUCAUAUCUUCUACAAAUAGAUUUCAUAUAUAUCUGUGUGUGUAUAUAUUUCAUAUAUAUUUGUGUGUAUUUCGUAUAGGUUUAUAUUUGUGUGCGCAUUAUAUCUUCUAAUUAUUUGUUACUGUCAAUUUUACUUAAAUUAAUUGCAACAUUUUAAUGUUGACAGCGGAAUAAGUCAACAAAAAAUAUACUUCCUCAAUUUUAAAAUUAGAUAUACAAUUUGACUUUUGAGAUCAAACGACGGUAUAUAUAAAAAAAUUUAAAUUGAUGUGAAUUUAUUUAAUUUUAAUUAAUAAUACAAUUAUAUAAAUGAGGAAAUGAGGGAUUAUAUCUUAAUUUAAAGCAUUAGGGAUAACAUUGUUUAAUAAAUUUAAAUGUGAAAAAUUAUUGUUUCUGAAGUGAUCUUUCUACUUUGGAAUUAAUGUACAGAUCUCCUGAUUAAUUUCAAAUUGGUGCUAGAUAUGAUGUAUUCAAAGGAGCAAGAGCUUAAACUUCAUUAAUUUAGUUUUACUUUUAUUACUACUUUGUACCAGAACAACUGAUCUCAUGUUAGGGGGGAAAUAUGUCUCUAUGUUUUGAUAUAAAAAUGUUCAAGAAAAAUUUGUCCUUUCAUCUUCCAAAAUAUAAAAUUCAAAGUACAUAAUUUUAAAUUCAAAAUUGAUAUAAAUAUUUAUUUAUUUUCAAAAAAAAUAAAUCUUGUAAAGUAGUAAUACUUUUCACUCGGCAUAAAAUUUUCAUAAUUAUAUUAUCUAAAAUUAAAAGAAUUCAUAUAAGUUCUGAGUGAGUUUGAAAAUAUCUUAACAAUAGUACAAAAUAAACUUAAAUUAUGUCAACGUAGCAACACUCGUAUCUUAAAUUGACAUCAAAAAAUAAAUUAAUUACAAAAUGGGAAAAUAGAUAAUAAUAACUGAAGGAUUUUACAACACCAUUUCAACUAUCCAAGAAACUUUAAAUAUACAAGACCCCUGUAUUAUAUUGCUGUUUAUUUUUCUAUCAUAAAUACAGUUCCUGACAAGAUAUGCUAACAAUAUAAUCCUAUGUCUGUUUCUGGAGCAGAAUAUUGUCUCUGAGCCCAAGCACAUACAAAGUGGAAUAACAUUUCAAGGAGAGAAAAUUGGAACCCCCUUAAUCUACAACAAAUAAACAGACAAUUCCCCGAAAGCACACCUACAACUACAACUACAACUAAUGGGGAGGUGCAAACAGCCAUGAUCCUGCUUGUUCAGCUCUGUAACCACUAUCAAAUAUGUAAAGCUUCCGUUUCUGGAUAGCUUUUAACUUGGUUGAUUUUGAUGCCUAGCAUUUUGUUUAAUGCACCAAUAUAGGCUCGGACGCUGGAAAUAACAAUAUCCAUUGAUGCUCCGGUUCCACUGUCAACAAUUACAACAAAAGAGAAAAAAUGACAAGUGUAGGACUGAUGAAAUGUUUCAAAAAUGAUCCAUUUAAGAAAAGAGAAUUGUUAUUUUCAGAAGGUCUCUCCCACAUAUAUAUAGUAAAUUCCUCAUGGUUACAUGAGAGAUAAAAUAGGCUUGUGGAAAUAAAAUUCCCUCGAGAAAAAAUUUAAAGCAAGUGCAUGACAUACCUAUAUGUACGUUGAACAGCUUCUCCAGUGUAUGCGUUAGUUGAUGUCUGGUUGUUAUCCCCGCGAAUUAAAACUCGGGUAGUGGCUAUAGCAUCAAUGCCUACCGUAACUGCAUUCAUGGAGUACUCGAGAAGCGUCACAGGUACCUGCAUAUAGGGAGAACGAUGCUUCUUCAGGCCCACAGCAUGUGCGCUCCCAAUUCAAAUGAGCACUUACAACAGGGAAAAUAUAUAUAUUAACUACUCAGAAAUCGUACUGGUUACAUGUGACAUAUUGUUUGAUGUAAACUUUAAUUUACUAAAUGAGUCAUCGUUUACUUUUGUAAUAUAUAUACUGACUGCGAAAAAACUCGGAACUUCAUUGUGUAAAAAUCACUUCACUCGAGCAAGAGCAUCAGAAAACAGCUGACAAUGACUCUUAGCAAAAGUGGGUUAGCCCAUUUCUUUAACCUAAUUUCAUUGCAAUACAGAACUGAAAGCUUUCAAAUUCAAACCUUCACAAUGAGAUCAACCGCCUUGUAUGCUGAAUCAACUGGCCCUGUUCCAACUGAACAAGCAAUAUGUUCUUCUCCAUCAGCAUCAAUUAGUCUAACAGUUGCCGUUGAAAGACCCAGACUUCCACAUGUAACCUGUGCGUUACGUAAUAGGUCUUUUUCAAUUGAAAGAACGACUACUUUAUACAUCCACACCACUGACUAAAGAAAAACCAAAUUGAUGCAUGAAAUGAAGUCUACGUGUACCUGUACAUCGCCAAGCUUCCAAACAACUUGAGGCUGAAAAACUUCAUCUGAGACCAGUGCUAUUAGGUCAUCAUCCGUAAUGGUCUGAGACACCAAAAAAGAAAAUAAAUGAUGGGUAGAAUGAGCUGCAUAAUUCCAACAAAAUAGGCACAUAUAUAGUCUUUCCUUCUCUACUUUGGUUCUCCAUUUUCCAAUAUGCUAAUAAACUUAUAGGUCCGCACCCUGACUGCACCCUUAUGCCAUUCUUUGGCAAUUGACAUAACCAGCGACAAAAACCAAAACUUAAUUAACAGCAGUAAAAUUGUCUAGAAUUUCCUUGCACCUUUUUCUUUUCAGCUACGGCUUUAAAACGCCAAAACAGAUCAUCAAGUUCCUUCCCAUCGAUGUCAUAGCCAAGCUGAAAAGGCAUUAAAGCAAGGUGUUGAUGCAUGGCAUCAAAACAUGAACAUGUAUUUAGUGCAUAGAUGGCAUGAACAUUGCCCUAUACCUCCAGAAGUUUCGACCUCAAAGCAUGGCGUCCGCUGUACAAAAUUUUAGGGAAAAAAACAUGAGAAUAUAUGUGUAUUCGUGGGAGAGAGAGAUGGACAGCCAAAAAUACAAAUUGCUUCAAAACCAUAAAGAAUACGAAAGGAAAUAGUCAUAUUAUCAAAUAGCAUUUUAAAAGAACAUGUGGGUGGUGCUUCUUGGAGAUUCAAGCAUGCAGAACCUCAUCUGUGGAAUGAAGAUCCAUCCUUAACAGUUAAUCCUAGCACCAAAUAUAUCUAUACCUGUUUUGCAUCAUUACAUAUAACUAUUUUCAAGCUUUGUUUCAUAAAUAAUCCCCACGUCUCAAUUAGCUUUGCACCUAAUCACGGAAACAAUCUUUUUCAGUUUCUUGAUCACAAACACUAUUGUCAUCUCUUUUGCAUGGUGCCACGGUAAGGCUUCACAAGAGGAUAAGCAUGCUUCUCGAAAGUAUUCAGAAUAGAAUAACUCAAUAGCGUUUCUAUAUAACAAAUCAAUAUGCAAAAAUAGUAAGGCUAACAUAUAUUGAACAAGCAUAUAUAAUGAAGUACAAGACUUGAGCAACUUAAAAUACAAAUUAAGAACUAGUAAGUCACAAGUACUUUUUUUUUUCGUUUCUUUUUUCCCUUUUGGUCUGAUAACAGUUGCGUGUCAAAAGACAAAUAUAUAAACAAAUUUGUAAGCCACAACAGAAACCAAAAGCUUUAGCAGUUUCGUUUCUCCAUACCUAAGUUUUCCGAGGACAAUACCAGAUUCAUCAGAACGAUGGAGCCCAAUCUCUUCCGGAGACAUAAUCUCAUAUGUAUUUUUAUGUUUAAGCAUUCCAUCCUACAAGAUCGCAAGCAUAAGACAAGGGUUUCAGUAACUGUAACUCAAUCAUUGAAAGAAGAAAAAAAACGGAAGAAUAAGCAUUCCAUCCUACAAGAUCUGAAGCAUAAGACAAGGGUCUCAAUAAGCGUAAAUUAAUGAAAGAAAAUGUUAAACUUGAGAACUUUCUACAUGCUCUCCCCUGGAAUAAUAAGAGAACUUUAAUGUGCUAAAAAAUUAGAAAAUAUAGUUUUAAAAAGAUAAAAAAAUGGAAGAAUCUAAGGAAAAGAAUUAAAAGGCAGUCAAUGAUCAACAUAUAGUAAUGUUAACCAAUUAUAUAGGUUGUUACAAGAAUAGAUCUGUUCGGUAAUAGUAGUAGUAGUGUUUGGUUAUAAGCAUAUUGCAAUAGCUAUACAAUUAGUAUAAAACACUUUCAAAAUGUAGCCUGGUAUUUUGUGUAAAUUAAUGCUGAAAAGUUUCUUCUCUAAAUUCCUUCCCUUCCACUUGUGAAUCUCUUCUUAUGUUUAUUUGAUUUCAAUUCUUUUUAUUUUACAUUUUUUCCUGAAUCUAUAAAAAUAAUCUUGAUUAAAACAUUCACGAUCAUCACAUUUUGUAUCAAGCCCCUCGACUCUUGGACAGAUUUCCAUCAUGGUUGACACACAAGGUUGAAGGUGAUUGAAGCAAACACUGGGUAAUAGGGACUUUCAGAAUUCAAAAAUAUAUUGGGUAAGAACCUCCAUUCAGUCUUAUAUCUCUAAUCUGAUACUUUGGUUCUUUUUUAAUCUAACAUCCUUUAUUUCUUUGCUUCUAAUUCUUUUUGGUUAACCCUUAUUUUUCCUUUUUCUUUUCACAAAUUACGGGUGUCAGAAACUCUUAGAGAAUUCAGCUAGUCAUGGGCACUUUUUUUUAAGUCAAAACUCCACUAAAGUCUCUAAUGUCUUAUAGUUUUCCUGUCUACAUUUUCCCUCUUCAACACUCACAUUUGUGUAAAAAUUUCAUCAUUUCCAAUCCCAGAAAUCAUAAAUUCUCUAUGAGAGAACCCAAUUUCAUUUCAUUUCUUCCUCUAUUCUUGAUCAUCCAUAUUUGUUCUUUAUCUGUAAAUUUUGAGCAAUUGUACUAAUCCUAGAACUAUCAAUGAAAAGUCAGAUCUCUCAUCUCCAAACCCAUCUCAACUACAUUUCUAAUCUUCCAUUUUUUCUUAUUCUAAUUAUUUUCCUAUUCUAAAUGGGUUCUCUAUUUUAUUUUGAUCAUUAAUUUUUUUCUCUCUCAAUCUUUAGCAAUUUUUCUACUUUAGCAUUACCAAUCUCAGAAGUUAUGACAUUCUUCCUUAAGAUUUACAAUCUAAUUCCCAGACAAUAAUUAUGUCUUGAUUUUUUUUUCUUUUUCCAAGUGGAUUCACCAUCUUCCACCAUGACUGAAGUUGGUACGGAAAAACCUUUUGUAUAAGGUUCGAAAUGGUGAAUUGAGGUAGAGUAGACUGAUAAUCGUGACAUAGUGAUCAUGAAUAGCAAGGGGCUAUUGAGCAGUGAGAGAUUCUCAAAUUUACAGGGCACAAUGUCUGAGUUCCUUGUAGAAACGAUACAAAUUAGAAAAGGAAACAAGAAACUAAACACUAACACUCACGAUUUACGUUAGCACCACUGUUUUCAAAACAAAUGAACUGCAUCUACACCAUCAAUCCAAUAUAAUUAAAAUAAUAUGCUUAAAUACACUUUAAACCUUAAAGUUUUUCACUUUUUACAACUUGAACCCUAAUGUUUUAACUUUAAGACAUUGAACCUUAAUGUCUUUAAAUUUUUAUAAAUUAAACCUUGUAGCCAUCGACGAGUAAUAAUUGAUCCGAAUGAGAUUAUUUUGAGUAAUUUUACUCCACAAUAUCUUUAGAAAUACAAAAAAAUAUAGGCACGUGGUUAGUGUGAUGAAGAAAAAAAUAGAAAAAAUUAAAUUCAAUAUAAAUGAUUUAUACCGUUAAAAACUAAAUUUUUCGGAUUGAUAGGACAUCUAAAAUAUCUUUAAAAGCACAAAAAAUUGUAGUCACAUGGUUAGUAUGUGAUGAGGAAGAAAGAUAAAGUAAAAUCGAAGCCAAUAUAAACCCUUAAAAGACUUAAUUACCCUUUAUUUUGAGUUGCAUGACUUAUUCUGGUAAGAAAUGCUUAAUUCAGUAGCCAAAAGGUUUAAUUUAUAAAAAUAUAGAGACAUUGAGGUUCAAUGUCUUAAAGUUAAAACAUUGAGGUUUAAAGUGUAAAAAGUGAAAAACUUAAAGGUUUAAAGUGUAUUUAAGCCAAAUAAUAUUGAUUAUGGGAGAUCCACGAAGUUUAUUGAAAAUUAAGAAUACAAGUAGAGCUGAAUUCAAAUAUUGUUAGGUUCAAGAUGGUUUUCUAACACCUAAUCUAGAAAAUGUUAUCAACCCAAGAAAGUGAACAUAACAUAAUUUUUUGUACAAGUAAAUAAUAAAUUCACUCUAAGCGUUGUUAGCGGCCUAACCUAAGUACACAUGCAAUAUACACAGUAUAGGCGAGAGAGCUACGGCUAUGCCAAUUGCCACACAAAGCCAAGACCCCUGUCCAUACUAAAAGAUCCUCCCUGUCAAUUGAUCUUCCCAAAAUAAAUGAAAAAACAAAAAUAAAAAUAAACAACACUAACCUCCACUCUUUCCACACCCUCAUUCCAUUCCAAGCCAGCAUCAUUUCACCUACUGCCCUUGGCAUCACAAAAGAGAGAUCACACAACGAAAAGGUAAAGGUGUCCCAGCUACGUUUCCUCUACGCUAGUCUUGGGGGGGAAGCAUAGCAAGGGGAUAAACCUAUCCACUCAGCUCCUCCUUGCUUAGCCGAUCAAAGUCACUCCUCAAACUCCUAGCCGCAAUACAAUGGAGAAGGAGGUGACGACCAUUUAAUUUACUACAAAGUUGUCAAAUAGUUAAGUUGAAGCGAGUCGGUGUCCGACUGCCUAAGGAACCAGUUGCCUAGUCGCCCAACUAGUCGUUGAUAAAGAGACAAAUUAUUUACAAUACGAGAUGUGUGUAUAUAUAUAUAUAUAUAUAUAUAUAUAAAUUACAAUUAACAUGAAAAAUAUUACAAUUUCACAAUCUAAACUAUAAAAUAUCAUUGAUAACUAUACGAUAUUGACACAUCACUAACAUUAUUUAUAUAACAUUAAUAAUCUUGUAUAAUCAUUAUAUAUGUGUGUGUGUGUGUGUGUAAAUAUAAAGUUAUGCUAUAGAUAUAUAAAUUGAUAAGCUGAAAAUACUAUACUAUAAAUUUAUAUAUACUAUAAUUAUAUAAAUUAAUAUACUAUACUUAGUAUACUAUACAUUAGUUGUAUAUAUUAGUUAUAUAAUGUUAUAUGUAGGUUCCUUUUUCUUCUUUGUUGCCGAUGUUUUUCUUAGCAAAGUAAUCCCUUAGUCACAUACUUGUUUGAGUAUAUUUGUUUGGAUCUUUAAUUGGGUGGGUUACUAGGUUAUAGGACAAUUGGAAUUUGGAAUUAGGUCGGGUAAAUUAAAAUUUGAGUUUCUUUCCAAGUCAUCUGACUAGAGACCAAUUCGGGCAAAUCGUCGAUUUGAAAUGACUAGGCGACGACUAACUGUUCAAGUCGCACCACUUAGUGACAACGGUCAAGUCGAGCUAUCGACUCGCACUUCCAACAGUGACCGGACUAAUCGCGGGCUAGUCGUCAUGACUUGAUAACUAUGAUCUACUAGUAAGCCGGAGCUCUUUUUUUUUUGAGGUUAUGCUAAGUGUGGAUUAUCACCCAAAAGCCACAGUCCAUUUGAAAAAUGCCACGUUCUGAGGUUUCCCUUGUGACCCCCCAAAUUCAGACACUAAUAUCUCGAAUUCGGUGUUUCACGAUUUAACUCAAUUAACAAACUAAAAUCUCAAACAACGGAAUAAUAUAAUAAUUUACAUUGAAAUAAUAUAAAUAUUCUUAUCUCAAGUUCUCGCAACCGUUACUAACUUAAUACAUGGCUUAAAUUGCACUUAACUUAAUACAUAAUAUCAAAUAAGUCUUGUUACAAACAUAAUAAAAAUGCGCUUCUAACAUAAAAGACUAAAACUACUCCAUAGCUUUGCCUUUGCCCUUAUCUUUCCCCGAGGUUAGGGGUGUGCAACCGGAACCGGUCCGAACCGGAACGGUACCGAACCGGUACCGAAAUUAGCCAAAUUUUAGUACCGAUACCGGUUUACCUGUUGGACCGGUAUACCGAACCGGUUUACCGGUUCGGUACCAGUUCUUACCGAAAAUUAAUAUAAUUAGUAUUAUUAUUUUUAUUAAUAUUAUUAUAAUAAUUAUUUUAUUAUUAUUAUUAAUAAAAAAUAAAAAAAUAAAAAAACGGUAUAUACCGGUCCGGUUCGGUAAAACCGAACCAUAAAUACGCCGUACCGAAACCGGUACCGAAAAACCGGUAUAUACCGGAUUUUUUGUACCGAAACCGGACCGGUACUUUUUGUACCAAACCGGCCGAUUCGGUCCGAUCCGGAAAAUCGAAAAUGGUGCACAGUCCUACCCGAGGUACUGCCUUGCUCUGCCUUAACUGAAAUGUUUUAAGCAAGAAUAACCAACAAUUUAAUAAGGGUAAACAAGUAUAUAAGUUCAUGAUCUCAAGGGUAUAACGGUAAAUAAUAGUUCAAGAAUUAAAAGAACAAUGUCGGAGAUAAGAAUUAACAAUUAUUCUAAAUCUGACCUUUGAAUCGAAAUAAGAGUCGCAAUGGACUAAAGGAUAUUCAACAGAAUUCAAAGGUUUCGAUACUUUAAGGUUUAAAGAAGAUUUAAACACUGAGUAGUCACUAUGGAAUAAGAACUCCUACUAGAAUUAACAGUAUUUAACUAACAAUUCAAUAUAAAAAAGUACAACAAGUGAUCAACCUAUAGUACCCUACGUUAUGCAUAACAUUUAAACAUGUUGUUUAUGCGCACGUCGGUUCCCCGACAAUAUAAAAUUUCCCCUUCUAAGAGGAUUGUUCAUAUUAAUAGAUUUAUAAGAUUCUGCAUCAAAGCAAUUGGUUUGGAUAGCUUCCUAACUCAUAGAUAUUUGUCUAGCCGAAUCAAAUGGCUUACUCCUUUCUCAAUACGUUUAAGAACGAUAAGUUCAAACUCGCCACAUGAUUCAAGAUGUAAAGUUUAAGUCGAAUUUCAGGAUAUGAAUAACAAUUCAUACGAGUAUAGAUAUUUGCUCAAUAAUUCAAAAUUUGCACAAUAUUCAACGCGGUAUAAAAUUUAGGAACUUGCAUUCAAUAUAAGAAUAAAAUAAAGUGUGGAAACUUGUGUAAUCAUACAUAAAGUAAAUGCAUAGGUUAGGAUAUUUGCCUUUAGCGUAGAUUACAAGUCUAAAGCUUAACGUCACUGCAAAGUCUUAUAGUAUCCUAUUUAUGUAUAUAUAUUUAUACACAUUAGUUAUACAAGCUGGAUACCCCAAAAUAUCGCAUACACAUACUCAAUACGUAUGUUAAGCACAUACAUUAAGUCAUGUCUUAGUUACACAAUCAGACCGUAUAAUUACCACAUCAACAUUGAUUUGUCUUUGAAAUCUUUAUCUAAAAACCUUUUAGAAAUUGUUAAGUAUUGAUUCAAUGUAGCCACAAUACACUUAAACACUUGAAACAUCAUGUAUUAUAACUUAAAACAUUAAUAUAUACAUGCUACAAUUCUCAUAUCAUAGUUUAAAAAGUCGGACAACAUUGCCCUGCAGCGCAGAUGUGCUGCAGUUUGGCCUAGGAGUGGCGUAGUUGCGCAGCUCCCUGGCCAGGCCAGAGUUGUUUUGAGUUUACUAAUUCCAUUUUAGUUUCUAGCAUGCAUGGAUACUAACACAUAUCAUACAGACAUGUUAAGAGGUCUUGGGCUCUCCUAGGGUCAUUUCAAGUUCACUUUUACACAUUAUGGUUUUAGUUGGAAAUUCUAUUGAAUUAAGGCUAAAUAAGUUCACGAAAUCAAGAGGCUAACCACAUUAACCAUUUAACCACGUAAGAAUGUUAAACAACCUGUGAUACGCAAGCUCGCAUGUAUUCAAUUUAUUUACACAUAAUUAGUAUUGUUCAUCUCUUGAAAACGUGUUUAAAAUCAUGCUUGAGUAGUUCAUCAUGUGCCUAAUUAGAUGAGUGAACAUAUAGGUCAUGUUUAGUGACAUAAGGAGUCUUACUAUACAUGUUCUAAAGUUCAAAAUGUAAACAACAUCAUGCUUGCAAAUAUUAGUUUCAAAGCUUUCAAGUUUUCUUUUAAAAAGUCAUCUUAAAUCAAAGCUAAAGCAAGCAAAGCAACUUUAAACUACCUUUCAUGCUCAUUUGUUCACCUAACCCAGGCAUAUGCAUAUGCUAAAAUCAAAACUCAAAACACACAAGUUUCAUCAAAGUUCGUUUUCAAAACUGCUAAUUUCUUUUAGAAAAUAUACAUUUAAGUAGACUAAGGUAAUUCAUAUGAUGCAAAGGGACUUUAGGCUACAUGUUAUACUUAUUUUCAUGUGUAACCAACUCAAACUAGCAUGUUAAAACAAAUCAGACUAUAGUAGAAGUCCAGAUUCCUUUCUGGUGCACGGCGCAGCUGCGUUGUUCUGUACUGUGGGAGCGGCGGAGCUGCGAUGCUCCAGAAUAGUCCCAGAAACAGCAGCCGGCACAGCAGCGCUGGCAUGAACUGCAAAAGGGGUGCAACUGCGCCCUUCCCUGGACAGUCACAGGAAGGUCUCUGUUUCGGCAGAAACUCAACAUACAACUAUUACACUUUCAUUUAGCAUGAUAAGAACAUCUCAUUGACGCAUAACACACAUGCAAACUCUGUUAACACAAUAACAUUCCUUCGCAAACCAACUAACAUAGAAUUCAUGAAAAUUUUUAAGAAUUUAUAAAACUUUGAACUUAAUAACAAAUUUAAGGAUGUUACCUCUUUUGAAGUUAAAUUAAUACUCCUUAAUUCUUAACUUCAGAUUGCUCUUAAUUCUCAGCAACUCUCUCUAAUUUAACUUAACAGACAAUCUAGCAAAGUGAAUUUGAGAAGAGGAGACUGCUAUUUAUAGAAGACUUGAUACCCAAAUUUGGGCCUUACACAUUGAAUUAAACCAAUUGUAUUAAGAAGAAACCAUUGGAUUGAAAGAAUUUGGUAAAAAGAAGUUAACAACUUCUUCUCCUCUAUUCUUCUCACCAUCAUUGCAGCUAUGAACAGUAGAGAAGCAUAGGAUAGGCCAAUGGCCUAAUCACGACAGUUGAAUAGAGUGCGACACUGCUUUUGGGACAAGUCUUAUUACUCUCUUAUUUAUCAGUAAAGUGGACCUCAUACACUAAGGUUAUUUCCUUUAGGGCUCACAAGUGCAAUUUUAAUGAGUUAAUAUUAUUACCUUGUAAUAAGUUAAGGGUAUAUAUACACAAUCAUAUAAUCCAUGUACAUUAGAUUUGUCCCAAUAAUAUUUAAAUUAGGUUAAAAUAUAAUUCAGUUGGGUAUCAACCACCCAUUAUAUUACAUAAAACUUAUUAUUUUCAAUAUACCCCAAAUAUUAUAAUGAUAAUUAAUAUUAAAUGUUUAUUUUCCAACAAUUAACUUUCUUCAAUAAUUCUUAAAAUACACAUUUAAUUCACCCAUUAUGUACUAUAAUGUCACACAAAGCUCAUUUAUAUGACUUGGUAAAUCACAUAUUUCAAACUUAUUUUUAUCAUAUAGUCUUGUACAUUAUAACAUUAUUAUUAAUGUCCCACUUUUCGUAUCAUGUAUAUAGUAACAAAAUAAUUUUUCAAGGACUGGUCAUUGACGCAGCUGCGCUGGUUUGUACUGCAGAAGUGGCGCAGCUGCGCCACACUGUGACAAUUAUGUUUUGCACCAACAGUCUCAGACCAUACCACAUACCACAAUGAAAUUGCACAUAACACUUAAUUAGCUAAAAUAAUAAUAACAAUUAGUCUAUCACAUUAUUAAAUCAUUCUUUCAUUAAUUUAAUUAAAUGAUUACUUAAUCCAUCAUUAUGCCAAACUAGGCAUGUCACAUAAGCUUAAUAUAAACUUUUCAUUAAUUCCACCACAUCACAUACUUGUUACGUGCUUAACUCAAUUUAAGUUGAAUUAUUACCUUCCGAGACACGGGUUAAAUGCUUUCUAAGUCACUGUACUAUAAGUCGACUUACAAAUGGGUCACUGAACUUUUUUUUCUUAUAGUCAACUCACUGAACUUUAGUUACUAACAAAAAGUUUAAUAUUCCGUUAAAGAUGUUGACUUUGGACGGAAAUUGCCACGUAAGCUGCUGACGUGACAAUUUUUUUUGAUGGGGCACAGAUCUGUCCCAUGUGGCUUUCAUGAUAUGGAAAUGGAGGAGAAUUUACAAAUGUAAUAAUAUAAAUGUACAUAAAACGCAAUUUUUUUAAUAAAUUUUUUUAAAAAAACGCAGUUUUUUUAUAAUAAAAAAUAAAAAAAAACGCAGUUUUUUUAAUAAAAAAAAUAAUUAUUUUUAUUUUAAAAAAAAACCAAACAACGCUCUCUCUCCUUCUCCGUCACAACAACGCAGUUUGGUUUUAAAAAAAUAAAACACAGCUUUUUUUAAUAAAAAUAAUUAUUUUUAAUAUAAAAAAAACACAAUUUUUUUUGAUAAAAAUAAUUAUGUUUAAUAAAAAUAUAAAAAACAGAGUUUUUUUUAAUAAAAUAAAAAAAAACACAGUUUUUUUAAUAAAACGCAUUUUUUUAAUAAAAAUAAAAAAAAAGUGCAGUUUUUUUUAAAAAAAUAAAAUUUUUAAAUAAAAAAAUUUAUUUUUAAUUAAAAAAAACGCAGUUUUUUUAAACAAAAAAUAAAAUAAAAAAAAAAUUUUAAUUAAAAAAAAACUGCAUUUUAUUUAUUUUUAAAAAACUGUGUUUUUUAUUUUUAUUAAAAAAAACAGUUUUAUUUUAAUUUUUUAUUUAAAAAAACUAUGUUUUUUAAAUUAAAAAUAACUUUUUUUAUUAAAAAAACUGCAUUUUAUUUUUUUAUUAAAAAAACUGCAUUUUUUUAAUUAAAAAUAAAUUUUUUUAUUAAAAAAAACUGCAAUUUAUUUUAUUUUUAAAAAAAAAAACUGUUUUUUUAUUUUUAUUAAAAAAAACAGUUUUAUUUUAUUUUUUUAUUUAAAAAAACUGCGUUUUUUAAAUUAAAAAUAAUUUUUUAUAAUAAAAAAAAACUGCAAAUUAUUUUUUGAUUAAAAAAACUGCAUUUUAUUUUUUUAUUUAAAAAAACUGCGUUUUUUUAAGUAAAAAUAAAUUUUUAUAUUAAAAAAACUGCAUUUUAUUUUAUUUUUUUAAAAAAAAACUGUGUUUUUUUUUAAAUUUAAAAAAACAGUUUUAUUUUACUUUUUUAUUUUAAAAAACUGCGUUUUUUUAAUUAAAAAUAAUUUUUUGUAUUAAAUUUUUUUUAAAAAAAAACUACGCUUCUUUUUACUUUUUUUAUUAAAAAAAUGCGAUUUAUUAUCUUUUUAUUAAAAAGAACUGUGCUUUUUUUUAUUUUUAUUAAAAAAAACUCUGCUUUUUUAUUUUUAUUAAAAAAAUUUGCGUUUUUUUUAUAUUAAAAAAAUUUAUUUUUAUUAAAAAAAACUGUGUUUUAUUUUUUUAAAACCAAACUGCGUUGUUGUGACGGAGAAGGAGAGAGAGAGCGUUGUUUGGUUUUUUUUUUUUAUAUAAAAAUAAUUAUUAUUAUUUUUAUGAAAAAUAAACGCAUUUUUAUUAUAAAAAAACUGCGUUUUUUAAAAAAUCUUAUUAAAUAAAUUGCGUUUUAUGUACAUUUAUAUUAUUACAUUUGUAAAUUCUCCUCCAUUUCCACAUCAUGAAAGCCACGUGGGACAAAUCUGUGCCCCAUCAAAAAAAAUUGCCACGUCAGCUGCUUGCGUGGCAAUUUUCGUCCAAAGUCAACAUCUUUAACGGAAUAUUAAACUUUUUGUUAGUAAACUAAAUUCAGUGAGUUAACUGUAAGAAAAAAAAGUUCAAUGACCCAUUUUUAAGUCGACCUAUAGUACAGUGACUUGGAAAACAUUUAACCCUCCAAGACACAUAAAUAUAAAUGUAAUUCAAAACAAAUAUUCAAACAAUUUAUUUAUUUAGUUAAUAUUGUUUAUAAAAUUCACGGAUAUUACACCCCUACUCUCUAUUGGUCUCUGAUGGUACAUAAUUACCAUCAACUCCUUACAGAAUUCUAAAAUAUGAGCGUACCAAAAAACAUCUACUAUUGUUUUGGCCUUCUAACGCACUAGAUCCUCAUGUCCAACCCAUAUCUCCUUCCCUCCAAGGACAUUCAUGAUUCAACAGUCAAACUACCUCCUCUAAUUUCCAAUCCUGAAAGUUCCACCUAAAUAGUGGCUGCCACGAUCAUUGUUCCUCAACCUCAAAAAAAAAUCUGCAACCAUAGCCCUUGGAUCCACCAAAAUAUCUAAAAGAUUCGGAGAAACUCUGCAAGUGGAAUCUCACUAUAGUGUCUGACCAAAAUAAAAAAAUUCCUUCAAUUUCCCAACCUUCUACACAAUGUCUCAUAAAUCCAUCCAAACCUGAAGCAAUGGCUUUCAAAACCCCUCCCCCAAAAGGAAAAGACCCAAGCCUAGUUUGUAUGUAAACGCACGCACGCACUCUCUCUCCCCCCGGCGACUAAUAAUGACCCUCUUCCAUAGACCAACUUCAUGCCAUAAAUCUACAAAACCACUUACCAAACAAAGGUUGUGUUAGAAGAUUCCUUAAUUGUAGUGUUAGAAGAUAUUGCAUGAUUGUAUUUUCCUUAAUCAGGGUGUACACAUUACUAUAAUUUAGGAAUUACAGUAACUGUAAUUAGGGUACUUGUGUAUAAAUAUAUCAAGCUAUGUAAUAGAGAUUCAUUCAAUAAUAAGAAAUUAUUCAGUUUCUACAGGUUGGUUAAAGACUCCCAGGAACCAAAUAUCUAGACCUCCAUCGAGCACACACCUGUGCUUUCCUUCUCCUGGNNNNNNNNNNNNNNNNNNNNNNNNNNNNNNNNNNNNNNNNNNNNNNNNNNNNNNNNNNNNNNNNNNNNNNNNNNNNNNNNNNNNNNNNNNNNNNNNNNNNUGUGCUAACAUGACCACAACAUGCUAGAAGCAUAAAAUGCAGAUAUCUGAAGAAUAACCUUAAACCAAUUUGCAAUCAGAAAACCAACCUGAUGUAUACCACUUUCAUGAGCAAAAGCAUUAGCACCAACAAUUGCCUUGUGUGGUUGUACAAGCAGCCCACUGUACUCUUCCACCUAGAAAUACAACCACCAAAUUGAAUCAGAGUAAAGCAACUUUUUUAAGAUUGGGAAAAAUAAAAAUACAAAUAUAAAAAAGAUGCAAAGAGAGUAUACCAUCUUGCUAGCCCUCACUAUGUGUUUAGUAUUGAUCCCAGUAUAAAGACCACCCAAUACUUGAUCACCGCGACAUUUAAAUGCCAUUACGACCUAUAUUAGAAAGAAAGAGAAGUAGCACAUAAAUUAACAGUGGUGUUGCACAUUAGUCAUUACAAGAUCCAACUACCUUAAAAUAUAGUUAUAUAAGGAAUCCAUGACAUCCACAAAGUUCUUUGAUUUUGUGCCAAGAUUUGUUCUUUCAUAAGGAGAUAUAGAGUAUAAUGGUUGACAAUAUAUGGACCAACUUCAGUUGAUUACAUUGGUGGACUGGGCAUAGCACAUCAAGCAUUAAAUUACGAAUUCAAAAUUAACAUGUCAAAAAUUAGUAAGGAUAAAAGUUACAUAUUAUCUACUCAGAGCAGAGAAAAUCUGAACCAUGCACAUUAGUACCUUCCAUUAUUCCAACAACAUGAUAAAUACCAGUUGUACUAAGUUAUAGUUAGGUUGCAUACCAAACUCAACAAGAGAAACACACGCGCAUACACACGCACGAGCGCGCACACACAAAAGAGAUUCUCAGUGAGAAACAGAGAACCAACGAUAAAAACUAACCUAUUUAAGUGGAAAGCAAUAGCAAUAAGAAUAUGAAGUCGUAAGUAAAAGACAAUGGAUGAAAUCCCAAAGUAAUAUAAAAUGCAUCUGAAAGAUCUCAUAGCUAGAAAUCACCAUAAUCAAAUCUUGAAAAUCACAUUGCCUCGUAUUUUUGACAAAGCAAUAAUACAUAAUUCAAGUGACAUAUGAGAAACAAACCUCACCUCCUCCAAAGAAGCAUUACCCGCUCUCUCACCAAUGCCAUUGAUCGUUACUUCUACUUGUCUUGCGCCUGCACAUGCCCCCUAUACAAAGAUGAGCAAACAUGUCAGUGGAACAAAACCUGGUGUCCAACCCAAUAUAUACUUCACAGAUUUAAUUGCAUACCGCUAAAGUAUUGGCAGUAGAAAGUCCAAGAUCAUUUUGGCAAUGUGUUGAAAUGAUGACAUUUUCAAUUCCAGGGGUGUUUGCUUUUAUGUCAGUAAUCAGUUGUCCGAAUUCAUUAGGCACAGUAUAGCCAACAGUGUCAGGGAUAUUAAGAGUGGUAGCCCCAGCUUUUAUAACUUCCUUUAGAAUGUAAUACAAAAAUUCUCUUUCAGACCUGGUAAGAAACAAGUAUUAAGAAACUUAUGUGUUUACCUGAAGCACAUUAGGAAUAGAGACCAGUACUAUUGUGAUUAGCUUUCAAGAUUAAGUGAAUUAAAACUCAUAUUAAUCAGUAUGUACCAAAUGUAUUGCAACAGAAGUGCUACAUAGUAAUCCAAAUUCAUACUAUAACCUUCAUUAGCCAUUCUGAUCAAUCAACCAACAUAAAAGUAAAUCAAAACUAUCCAGCAGAAUUAACUAAUGCUUGAAUUCAUAAUCAUACAACCAUGUAAUCUAAGCCGCCGACUGAAAAGUUACAAAGAUGGUUAUUUUAGGUUCCUUUUUAUACAAGCAGGGGAAACAUGUUCCCUUUUAUUCUGACUGGUUCACAAGAUAAUAGUAUUGACAUUCUAAGCUAUACUGAGUUCAUACAUUAAAAUUCAUCGUCUCCAUAAAAUAUACCAACCUACAACCAGUGAGUGUAAUUUUCAUCUUGCUUGGUUUCAAGUUUCCACCACAAGAGACUGGAUUAAAAAUAAUAUUAAAAUAAAAUCUUACUCAUUUUCUUUCAUUCACUUUUUUCACUGACUAAAAAUAGAACCAAAGUAAUACAACUUGAAUCACCAAAAGGUCUCACCAUAUAAAAAUAAAAAAUUAUUUAUUAAAAAAAAAUCUAGUAAAAAAGUAAACUUUCUUAUAAAAGACUUGCAUUGAAAAGAAUCUCCUCAAAAUCAAACCUAACCUUAAUAUUUUAAAGGUCUUUAAUCUAUAUAGUAGUACAAAACAGAAAAAAAAUAAUGAUUAUAGGACUUGAAGAUAGAAAGUAGUACAAAACAAAAAACUAAUUAACUAUUCAAAUGGGAGAAAAAGAAAUUUAUAUUACUCUCAACUCACCAAAAAGUAAGCAUAUUAAAUUACAAAAGAAGAAAUGAGUUUUAAAUUGGGAACUAUAAGCAUAUUCAAUUGCAAAAGAAGAAAUGAGUUUUAAAUUGGGAACUAACCUCCCUGCCAACUUUUGGCAAUUCCACUAUCAAAUGUCAAUUUUAUAUACAAAGUUUAUAUUAAAAGUUAAUACCUUCCAGCAUCUUCAGGGCUAAACUCAAUAUCAUCACACCCCAAACUCCUAGCAUAAGCUACCAUACUCCUCGCCUUCUCCACCACCUCCUCUUUCGAUUUCUUCAGCUUAUACUUCAUAUGAAUCUCACUCGUCGCUAUAAAUGUAUGAAUCCUAGGCUUCUUCGCAUACUUAACAGCUUCCCAAGCCGCAUCAAUGUCCUUCUUAUUACACCUCGCCAAUCCGCAUAUGACUGGCACGUGACUACCCUCUUCUCCCCCGACGCCAUUGCCGACUUCCUUGGCGAUAAUCUUCACCGCCUCAAGGUCGGCGUCGGAGGCGGCCGGAAACCCGGCCUCGAUUAUGUCAACGCCGAGCUUGGCCAGCUGCCGGGCGAUGUCUAGCUUCUCUUUGGUGGUCAUGGUCGCGCCAGGGGACUGUUCGCCGUCGCGGAGGGUGGUGUCGAAGAUUCGGAUGUAAUUCGGGUCGGGGAUGCGGUGGGGGAUGUAUUCGGGGCGGCGAAGGGGAGAAUGUAAGCAGCAGCGGAGAAUUGGGGUGGUGGGUUUUAUGGGUUUGAAGUGAAAAAGGGUGGGAAUUGGAGAAUUGGAAGAGAAGGAGGAGGAAUUGGUUGUGCAGUAGUUGGGGUGAGAGAAAAUGGCCGCCAUGGGAAAGAUAGAGAGAGAAAGCUUGGUAACUCUAAAGUGAUUGGAGGAAUAUAGACUUUUGAAGAGGGGGAAAAGGGUUUAUGGAAUAUACAUUUUUU